AUGGACGACUUCGCGAGGUCACUGGAGGUCGAUCUUGAAAUGGCAGAGGACCAAAGCACCAUCCAGCAAGGAGGCCACCAGAGCACGAGCGGGUCGGAGUCCCAGCCGCCGGAGGUCGACAUGAGCGACUUGUUGAGCUGGUUUGAUGCUGACGCAGAAGAGUUGGCAGAGACAAGGGAACACGUCCAAGAUGAACAAGAAGACCAGCCUGAGCAUGCGAGGUCACUGGAAGGCUUGGUGGCUGACGAGCGAGGAGACGACGUGAUAGCACAAGACCUGUUCAAUGCGCUCAACAGCAUCGGCAAUGGCGAUGAUCUGAUCAGCGACGGUGGAGACACGGACGAUUGGCUCAGCCUGCCUCUUUCAGCCUACAAUGGCAUCAUGUACUAA
This 390-nucleotide ribosomal RNA is filed under the name Triticum aestivum (bread wheat). RNAcentral describes it as "partial small subunit ribosomal RNA". The record is from RNAcentral. Lineage: Eukaryota; Viridiplantae; Streptophyta; Magnoliopsida; Poales; Poaceae.